Molecule: ribosomal RNA, 253 nt
Filed under: uncultured bacterium
Lineage: Bacteria
Description: partial 16S ribosomal RNA
Rfam family: Bacterial small subunit ribosomal RNA
Source: RNAcentral
GACAGAGGUCCCGAGCGUUAGGCGGAAUCACUGGGCUUAAAGCGUGUGUAGGCGGAUUUGUAAGUACCUUGUGAAAUCCCACGGCUCAACCGUGGAACUGCUUGGUAUACUGCUUAUCUUGGGCCACUUAGGGGUUACCGGAACAAACGGUGGAGCGGUGAAAUGCGUUGAUAUCGGAAGGAACGCCGGCGGCGAAAGCGGCUUGCUGGACCUCAUCUGACGCUGAGACGCGAAAGCCAGGGGAGCGAACGGG